ACCUAAUAGCUAGCCCACUUCCCCAAAUACAAAAAACAACUAUUUAUACCCCCUAAUACACUUAACCCAACAAACCAAAUCAUUUUUCCACCCAAGUAUGGGAGACAGAAAAGGACCAUUGGAGCUAUAGACAAAGUACCGCAAGGGAACGCUGAAAGAGAAAUGAAAUAACCCAGUUAAAGUAUAAAGAAGCAGAGAUUAAACCUCGUACCUU
This 214-nucleotide ribosomal RNA is filed under the name Canthigaster valentini (Valentinni's sharpnose puffer). RNAcentral describes it as "partial 16S ribosomal RNA". Lineage: Eukaryota; Metazoa; Chordata; Actinopteri; Tetraodontiformes; Tetraodontidae. The record is from RNAcentral.